This 651-nucleotide ribosomal RNA is filed under the name Macrolagria robusticeps. Its description in RNAcentral is "eukaryotic LSU rRNA". It matches the Rfam family "Eukaryotic large subunit ribosomal RNA", at positions 670 to 1262 of the family's 3401-position model. Lineage: Eukaryota; Metazoa; Arthropoda; Insecta; Coleoptera; Tenebrionidae. The record is from RNAcentral.
GGAGUCUAGCAUGCGCGCAAGUCAUUGGGACAUAACUAAACCUAAAGGCGCAAUGAAAGUGAAGGUUUGCCUUGCGCAGACCAAGGGAAGAUUGGUGAUCGCUUCGGCGCAUUGCCUCGCAUUCCCGGGGCGUCUCAUUCUUAUUGCAAGAAGAGGCGCACCAAGAGCGUACACGCUGGGACCCGAAAGAUGGUGAACUAUGCCUGGUCAGGACGAAGUCAGGGGAAACCCUGAUGGAGGUCCGUAGCGAUUCUGACGUGCAAAUCGAUCGUCGGAACUGGGUAUAGGGGCGAAAGACUAAUCGAACCAUCUAGUAGCUGGUUCCCUCCGAAGUUUCCCUCAGGAUAGCUGGCGCUCAUUGUAUACGAGUUUCAUCCGGUAAAGCGAAUGAUUAGAGGCAUUGGGGUCGAAACGGCCUCAACCUAUUCUCAAACUUUAAAUGGGUGAGAUCUCCGGCUUGCUCGAAACAUAUUUCAAUGAAGCCGUGAGAAUUUUAUCUUGAAUCAGAGUGCCAAGUGGGCCAUUUUUGGUAAGCAGAACUGGCGCUGUGGGAUGAACCAAACGCUGAGUUAAAGCGCCUAAAUCGACGCUUAUGGGAUACCAUGAAAGGCGUUGGUAACUUAAGACAUCAGGACGGUGGCCAUGGAAGUC